This 338-nucleotide ribosomal RNA is filed under the name uncultured Sebacinaceae. RNAcentral describes it as "eukaryotic LSU rRNA". The stretch from base 1 to 73 matches the Rfam family "5.8S ribosomal RNA", at positions 84 to 154 of the family's 154-position model. The record is from RNAcentral. Lineage: Eukaryota; Fungi; Basidiomycota; Agaricomycetes; Sebacinales; Sebacinaceae. RNAcentral also lists the same sequence under 1 other name.
GUGAGUCAUCGAAUCUUUGAACGCACCUUGCACCCUUUGGACUGCUCCAAAGGGUAUGCUCGUUUGAGUGUCAUUGUACUCUCACACUCUCUGAUCCUUUGGAUUUGGGGAGCGGUGGACUUGGGUGCUUGCUGCUUCCUUGUGGCUCACCUGAAAUGCAUCAGUGCAUCUCUUGAUUGGACAUAGUACGGCGUGAUAAGUGUCUUCGCCGGCACCUCAUAAGAGGGUGGCCGAUCGGGAGCUCUGGGCUUUCAAACCGUCUUCGGACAACCCCUGACAACUUGACCUCAAAUCGAGUAGGACUACCCGCUGAACUUAAGCAUAUCAAUAAGCGGAGG